This 274-nucleotide unclassified non-coding RNA is filed under the name Hevea brasiliensis (rubber tree). The record is from RNAcentral. Lineage: Eukaryota; Viridiplantae; Streptophyta; Magnoliopsida; Malpighiales; Euphorbiaceae.
GUUAGGGCCAAGGUUUCAAGAUAUCAUAUCCAGCGGCUUGGAAUUAAUGUUGAAGUGGUUUCUGAUUUAAAUCAAGCUUUAUGUAGCACAAGCAAUGGGAAUGCAGUUGUCAACAUGGUUCUUAUUGAACAGGAAGUUUGGGAUAGGGAUUCAAGCAAAUCAGCUCUAUUUGUCAAUAAUAUUAGGAAAAUUGAUCACAGUGUUUCUCUAAAACUAUUCCUUCUGGCUAAUUCUAUCAGUUCUUUCAGAACAAAUGAUGCAACUUCUGGUGUUU